This 337-nucleotide unclassified non-coding RNA is filed under the name soil metagenome. Its description in RNAcentral is "partial contains 5.8S ribosomal RNA, internal transcribed spacer 2, and large subunit ribosomal RNA". The stretch from base 1 to 120 matches the Rfam family "5.8S ribosomal RNA", at positions 35 to 154 of the family's 154-position model. The record is from RNAcentral.
GAUGAAGAACGCAGCGAAAUGCGAUAAGUAAUGUGAAUUGCAGAAUUCAGUGAAUCAUCGAAUCUUUGAACGCACAUUGCGCCCCUUGGUAUUCCGAGGGGCAUGCCUGUUCGAGCGUCAUUACACCACUCAAGCUAUGCUUGGUAUUGGGCGUCGUCCUUAGUUGGGCGCGCCUUAAAGACCUCGGCGAGGCCACUCCGGCUUUAGGCGUAGUAGAAUUUAUUCGAACGUCUGUCAAAGGAGAGGAACUCUGCCGACUGAAACCUUUAUUUUUCUAGGUUGACCUCGGAUCGGGUAGGGAUACCCGCUGAACUUAAGCAUAUCAAUAAGCGGAGGA